Long non-coding RNA from Myzus persicae (green peach aphid), 1031 nucleotides. RefSeq lists it as uncharacterized. NCBI's taxonomy places the organism in Eukaryota, Metazoa, Arthropoda, Insecta, Hemiptera, Aphididae. The record is from RefSeq and is a predicted model, not a curated record. The transcript is spliced from 3 exons.
CUACAUAGUUGUCAGUCACGGCGUUCGUACAAUAUGACGUUGUUGAUGAUGCGAUCCUCAACACAGAGUCAUAAUUUUUGCGGACGAAGUAGCGAAAAAAAAUCCUGUUAUAUAUUGCCCGGACGAUAAUUGUAUGUGAAUUGAUCAACAAGCGAUACCUAUCAAUUAUUAAAACAUCAAACAGGACGGUUCAUCGUUCAUGCUAAUCGCUUUUUUAAUUUUUUUACUUCAAUAAUGCAGUUGCUCAUGGAAUUUUUAAAUAUUGGAAUUUUUACAUAUUGAUGAGAACCCUCUCCCCCAUCAUUUCUACUGUAAACAUUAAAUUAUUAAGUUGAUAACUUUUUUGAAAAUGUUGAUGCCUGUUUCUAAUUCAAAAUUCGAACGAGUAGUUUCCAAUGAUGCUUUUGGAAGACUAAAAUACGUAAACGACUUAUUGUUUCGACAUUUUCGUCGUUUUCGGACAUACAUUUUGAAGCCUUUCGUCGGAAAUAGAGUAGUCUUUCAGUCAUCAGCUACUGGAUACUGUCUUGGAGUAGAGUGAAAUGUAUCAAUAUUUUCAAAACUAUAAUUUAUAGGUGGUGGAUACGGUAAAAAUUAUUGGUUACAUUAAACAGACAAAUGCAUUAGUAGUGGUGAUUAUACGUUAUUAUGCCAAAUACUUACAAUAAUAAUUACGUUUUAAAAUUUCAUGCGAUUUAUUGUCUUGAAAUAUUUAUUUAUGUGUGAAAAAAAAAAUAGUUUAUUAUAUCUAAAAAUGUACAGUUAUAAACCUAAAGCAAGAUAAGAUGUUAACGUGUUAACGAGUUGGUUUAUUGUAUGAAAAAAAAAACAGAAAAUAUUAUGGCACAUGCUUAAAUUAUAGUGAAGAAGUUGUUUAAACAAUCGGUAAAAUAAAAAAUGUAAGCAUAAUACAGAAUUUCAACUCUUAAGUUAUUAUAACUCAAAAGCUACUCGACAUCAUAACAUAUUUUAAAACUAGUAUACAAAUAAUUGAUGUUUCUUAUUUAGGACUUAUUGAUUAAGAUAUUUAA